RNAcentral lists this ribosomal RNA (253 nucleotides) under uncultured bacterium. Its description in RNAcentral is "partial 16S ribosomal RNA". It matches the Rfam family "Bacterial small subunit ribosomal RNA", at positions 524 to 776 of the family's 1533-position model. The record is from RNAcentral.
UACAGAGGGUGCGAGCGUUAAUCGGAAUUACUGGGCGUAAAGCGUGCGUAGACGGUUAUUUAAGUCAGAUGUGAAAGCCCCGGGCUCAACCUGGGAAUUGCAUUUGAGACUGAAUAGCUAGGGUACGGUAGAGGGAAGCGGAAUUUCCGGUGUAGCGGUGAAAUGCGUAGAUAUCGGAAGGAACAUCAGUGGCGAAAGCGGCUUCCUGGACCAGUACCGACGUUCAGGCACGAAAGCGUGGGGAGCAAACGGG